Molecule: ribosomal RNA, 117 nt
Filed under: uncultured bacterium
Lineage: Bacteria
Description: partial 16S ribosomal RNA
Rfam family: Bacterial small subunit ribosomal RNA
Source: RNAcentral
ACGCGGUGAAUACGUUCCCGGGCCUUGUACACACCGCCCGUCAAGCCAUGGAAGCUGGGGGUACCUGAAGUACGUAACCGCAAGGAGCGUCCUAGGGUAAAACCGGUAACUGGGGCU